RNAcentral lists this ribosomal RNA (3045 nucleotides) under Sporomusa termitida. RNAcentral's name for it is "23S ribosomal RNA". It matches the Rfam family "Bacterial large subunit ribosomal RNA". Lineage: Bacteria; Bacillati; Bacillota; Negativicutes; Selenomonadales; Sporomusaceae. The record is from RNAcentral.
UCAAGUUAUAUAGGGCAUACGGUGGAUGCCUAGGCGCCAAGAGCCGAAGAAGGACGCGGUAAGCUGCGAAAAGUCAUGGGGAGCCGCAAGCAGGCCCUGAUCCAUGAGUCUCCGAAUGGGGGAACCCAAUGGUGGUCAUGCACCAUUACCUAACUUAGGUUAGGGGGGCACCCGGGGAACUGAAACAUCUAAGUACCUGGAGGAAAAGUAAUCAAAUGACGCAGCCGCAAGGCUGCUAAUGCUGGAGGCCCCCAAAGGGCCAACAGUGCGAGAUUCCCUAAGUAGCGGCGAGCGAACGGGGAAGAGCCCAAACCUGUUUGGAUGUUGGAGAUUAGACAUUGGACAUUGGAUAAAAGGAACGUAAAAUAUUCUUAGACUUCCAACAUCUAAAAUCUAACAUCCAACAUCCAAACAGGGGUUGAGGACUGACAACAAUCAAAUCAGGCUUAGCCGAAUCAUCUGGAAAGAUGAGUCGCAGAAGGUAACAACCCUGUAGGCGAAAAGCAGAGUUUGAGGGUCAGAAUCCAGAGUACCACGGGACACGAGGAACCCUGUGGGAAGCAGGGGGGACCACCCUCCAAGGCAAAAUACUCGUGGCGACCGAUAGCGCAUAGUACCGUGAGGGAAAGGUGAAAAGCACCCCGGGAGGGGAGUGAAAAAGAACCUGAAACCGUAUGCCUACAAGCAGUCGAAGGCCCGUAUGAGGCUGACGGCGUGCCUAUUGAAGAAUGAACCGGCGAGUUACAGUAUCCAGCAAGGUUAAGUGGAAAACACGGAGCCGAAGCGAAAGCGAGUCUAAAGAGGGCGAAAGUUGGAUAUUGUAGACCCGAAACCGCAGUGAUCUAUCCAUGGCCAGGUUGAAGCGCAGGUAAAAAUGCGUGGAGGACCGAACCCGUGAGCGUUGAAAAGCUUUGGGAUGAGUUGUGGAUAGGGGUGAAAUGCCAAUCGAACGCGGAGAUAGCUGGUUCUCCCCGAAAUAGCUUUAGGGCUAGCCUCAGGAAAUAAGUACAGACGGUAGAGCACUGAUAGGGCUAGGGGCCUAAUGGGUUACUGAACCUUGUCAAACUACGAAUGGAUGUACUCGAACCCUGGGAGUCAGACUACGAGUGAUAAGACCCGUGGUCAAGAGGGAAACAGCCCAGACCAUCAGCUAAGGUCCCGAAUGCCGUACUAAGUGGCAAAGGAUGUGGAGAUACAAAAACAACCAGGAUGUUGGCUUAGAAGCAGCCACCAUUGAAAGAGUGCGUAAUAGCUCACUGGUCGAGUGUCGCUGCGCCGAAGAUGUCCGGGGCUAAAGUACGGAACCGAAGCUAUGGCAUUCCUAACGGAAUGGGUAGGGGAGCGUUCUAUACACGAAGAAGGUAUACCGUAAGGAGUGCUGGAGAGUAUAGAAGUGAGAAUGCCGGUAUGAGUAGCGAAAAGACAAGUGAGAAUCUUGUCCACCGAAAGCCUAAGGAUUUCUGAGGAAGGAUCGUCCGCUCAGAGUUAGUCGGGCCCUAAGCCGAGGCGAAAAGCGUAGGCGAUGGACAACUGGUAAAAAGUCCAGUACCACCUGGAAUCGAUUGAGCGAGGGAGUGACACAGGAGGGUAGGCAAGCGCGAGGAUGGAAAUUCGCGUCUAAGCUUGUAGGGUGCAUCACAGGCAAAUCCGUGAUGCUAAAACCUGAGGAGUGAUGGGCAGCUGUUAGAGAUAAUGGCGAAAUUGCUGAUCCCAGACUGUCAAGAAAAGCUUCUAGUGAGAGACCAGGUGCCCGUACCGUAAACCGACACAGGUAGGCGGGGAGAGAAUCCUAAGGUGCGCGGGAGAACCCUCGUUAAGGAACUCGGCAAAAUGUCCCCGUAACUUCGGGAAAAGGGGAGCUUGUAAACCGUGUAGAUCAGAAGCGAACGAAGCGGGAAUGAGUUGCAAAAAAGAGGCCCAAGCGACUGUUUACCACAAACACAGGUGCCUGCUAAAGCGAAAGCUGACGUAUAGGUGCUGACACCUGCCCGGUGCCGGAAGGUUAAGAGGAGAGCUUAGAGCAAUCGAAGGUUUGAAUUGAAGCCCCGGUAAACGGCGGCCGUAACUAUAACGGUCCUAAGGUAGCGAAAUUCCUUGUCGGGUAAGUUCCGACCCGCACGAAAGGUGUAACGACUUGGGCACUGUCUCAACGAGGGACCCGGUGAAAUUGAAAUACCUGUGAAGAUGCAGGUUACCCGCGACUGGACAGAAAGACCCCAUGGAGCUUUACUGCAACCUGACAUUGAGUUUUGGUAAAUGAUGUACAGGAUAGGUGGGAGACAGGGAAGUAUGGACGCAAGUCUGUAUGGAGUCGAUGUUGGGAUACCACCCUUUAUUUACUGGAGUUCUAACUCAAGGAGUAACGAAACUGAGGACAGUGUCAGGCGGGCAGUUUGACUGGGGCGGUCGCCUCCGAAAGAGUAACGGAGGCGCCCAAAGGUUCCCUCAGCGCGGCUGGAAAUCGCGCGAAGAGUGUAAAGGCAGAAGGGAGCUUGACUGCAAGACAGACAAGUCGAGCAGGGACGAAAGUCGGGCUUAGUGAUCCGGUGGUACCGAGUGGAAGGGCCAUCGCUCAACGGAUAAAAGCUACCCUGGGGAUAACAGGCUAAUCUCUCCCAAGAGUCCAUAUCGACGGGGAGGUUUGGCACCUCGAUGUCGGCUCAUCACAUCCUGGGGCUGAAGUAGGUCCCAAGGGUUGGGCUGUUCGCCCAUUAAAGUGGUACGUGAGCUGGGUUCAGAACGUCGUGAGACAGUUCGGUCCCUAUCCAUCGCGGGCGUAAGAGACUUGAAGGGAACUGCUCCUAGUACGAGAGGACCGGAGUGGACGGACCGCUGGUGUACCAGUUAUCCCGCCAGGGGUAGAGCUGGGUAGCUACGUCCGGAAAGGAUAAACGCUGAAAGCAUCUAAGCGUGAAACCAGCCUUAAGAUGAGGUCUGUCAUUCGCAAGAAGUAAGGCCCCUUGAAGAAGACAAGGUAGAUAGGCCAGGAGUGGAAGUGGAGCAAUUCAUGGAGCGGACUGGUACUAAUAGGCCGAGGACUUGACU